RNAcentral lists this ribosomal RNA (296 nucleotides) under Opisthopatus cinctipes. RNAcentral's name for it is "partial 12S ribosomal RNA". The record is from RNAcentral. Lineage: Eukaryota; Metazoa; Onychophora; Udeonychophora; Euonychophora; Peripatopsidae.
AAACCUUAAUAAUUUGACGGUAAUUAUUUCAUAAAGGAGCUUGUAACUUAAUCGAUACUUCACGUAAACCUUACUUAUAUUAAUUUUGUAUACCUCCGUAUAGAUUUUAUUUAAAAUUUUAAAUAUUCUCUGAAUAAAAUAAUUUAUUACAUCAGGUCAAGGCACAGAAUAUAUAAGUUGUUAUGAGCUACAUUAAAUAAAUAAUUUUGAAUUGUAUUUUAAAAAAUAUAUGAAAUUGAAUUUAUAAGUAAAAUAAUAUAUAAUAUUUAUUUGAAAGUAAAUAUUUAUGUACACAU